CCUACGGGAGGCAGCAGUGGGGAAUAUUGGACAAUGGGCGCAAGCCUGAUCCAGCCAUACCGCGUGGGUGAAGAAGGCCUUCGGGUUGUAAAGCCCUUUUGUUGGGAAAGAAAUCUUGCCGGUUAAUACCUGGCGAGGAUGACGGUACCCAAAGAUAGACCGUUCA
RNAcentral lists this ribosomal RNA (166 nucleotides) under uncultured Pseudomonas sp. RNAcentral describes it as "partial 16S ribosomal RNA". It matches the Rfam family "Bacterial small subunit ribosomal RNA", at positions 338 to 496 of the family's 1533-position model. Lineage: Bacteria; Pseudomonadati; Pseudomonadota; Gammaproteobacteria; Pseudomonadales; Pseudomonadaceae. The record is from RNAcentral. RNAcentral also lists the same sequence under 1 other name.